AGAAUCAACGCUGGCGGCGUGCCUAACACAUGCAAGUCGAACGAGAAAGUGGAGCAAUCCAUGAGUACAGUGGCGUACGGGUGAGUAACACGUGACUACCUACCCUCGAGUGGGGAAUAACCUCGGGAAACCGGGGCUAAUACCGCAUAAUGUCUUCGGACCAAAUGCGUAAGCAGCUUGAGGAGGGGGUCGCGGCCGAUUAGCUAGUUGGUGAGGUAAUGGCCCACCAAGGCAAUGAUCGGUAGCCGGCCUGAGAGGGCGCACGGCCACACUGGAACUGAAACACGGUCCAGACUCCUACGGGAGGCAGCAGUGGGGAAUUUUGCGCAAUGGGGGAAACCCUGACGCAGCAACGCCGCGUGGAGGAUGAAGCCCCUUGGGGUGUAAACUCCUUUCGAUCGGGACGAUUAUGACGGUACCGGAUGAAGAAGCACCGGCUAACUCUGUGCCAGCAGCCGC
This 459-nucleotide ribosomal RNA is filed under the name uncultured bacterium. RNAcentral's name for it is "SSU rRNA". It matches the Rfam family "Bacterial small subunit ribosomal RNA", at positions 26 to 518 of the family's 1533-position model. The record is from RNAcentral.